CUAAGUGUUGUAUCCCUAGUCCUCUGUGAAAAUAUUUGUACACUUUUUUUAAUCUCCCAAAAAAGAAAUAGAAUAUACGAUUUUCUAAUUUAGUCAAUAAAAACAAAGAUAGAUGGUACAAAUCUAUCUGAAUUAUCUAUGAAGAAAAAUACAAAUGAAUUCUUUUUUUAAGGUGUUAUUACCUAAAUACAAGUUCCAUCCAUUUAAUUCGGGUUGUUUGACGGUGUUUUUUAAUGUUGGCAGACGAUCUUCCACGAAAUAUAAAUAAAAAUAUGAAUGAACCUGAAUAUUUCCUCUUACAAAUUCAUUAUUUGGAUCCAAUUGCAAGGCUGCAUUAAACCUAAAAUUAAUAUGAGUUUAUUAAAGAUACAUGCGUGCCUAGUUUUAUUUUUAUUUAUAAAGACUGAGAGAAGAAAUAGCAAUGCACUUCCAUUUAUUUAUUUCUUUAUAUUACAACAUUGUAUAUUGAAUUUUCUUUCUUAUUAAGACAUUGUAGUUUGGAAAAUCUACUCACUUCAUAAUUACAAACCUUUCAUAAAUCCGUCAUCAAUAGCAUCCCUCUAGUUCCCUUGAGCAUAAUAAAUAAACCCUGAUAAUAGGUGCUCUAUCAAAACUUCAAAAUAGAGCAACAUACUCUUUUAAAUAAACUGUAGUCAUUCCAUCCAGCUCCACAUUCUAGUUUUCUUAAAUAAGAAUUUGUAAUUUUAGUAAAAUCCCAAAGUAAAAGAAAUCUUCAUCAUACUGUGAUAAUGUAAACGCAAACACAUUUACACACACAUAAAGAGAUAGAGGGAAAACGCUUACAAAAUGAACCCCAAUGACACUCAUGUAACAAUCAAUAUAAGAAUCAUCCUGAAGAAUAACUGUAUUUAGGCAUAAAUUGUGUGUAGCCUAAAUAGAUGAACUACAUUUCCAAUUAUGUUAUUGAACAUUCAAUAUUAAGAUGGAAGUAACUCUAAAAGAAAAGUUAAAUCAACUAAGCCCAACUAUAUGGGCUUUUUCUUGUAGGAAAUGCGAAAUCCUACAGGCAAAAAAUGGUAAUGAUCCUAAUCAAGGAAAUCGAAUAAAUUACUAUUAAUUUUAAUAGUGAAGUAGAUGAUAAAAUUAUGCAAAUAGUUUCAUCGUUUAAGCUUUCUCACCCUGCUCCCGAGUUAUAGCAAAGAAAAGAAAAGAAGAGAAAAGAAAGUAAGGAGAGAAAAGAAAAAAAAAGAAACGAAAAAGAAAUUGUCAUUUGUGCUCCCGAAUUAGAGAGAAAUGGAAGGAAAGUUAAACAUUUUGUUUUUUCUUUUCAAAUCCUCCAAACCGGGAGGAAAGAUAGGAGGAAAAGUUUUCCUUCCACUUUCUUCCUUUAAUAAAACUCGGGAGCACCAUUCUAUCUUGCUUUCCUCUCAUUUCCUCUAAUUUCCUUUCUUUUCUCUCGUUGAACUUGGAGCGGGGUGUAAGUGAAUUCCCUCUUUUUGGAUGCUCACAUAUUCUGUAAUUUCUCAAAACCGCAACAGCGAAGGCGACAUACCUUCUUCAAUCUUCAUCAUCGGCUGUUGGAGCAGCUCCAAAAUAAUCCACAGAGAAAAGGAAAACAAUUCUAAAAUAUUUCCAAAGCAGGUCAAGAACCCUAAUUUCAUCAAAGAAUCAAUUAAGAGGAUGAAGAAAAUCGAUUACUCAAAGAAACUGAGUAAAAAACUUACCUGAAUGAACAACGUUAAUUGGAGGACCGGUGCUUUUGUGUAUUUGGAUGUAUCAACUAACCUGCAAUUUUGGAACUCGGAAAGAUGAGAAACCGUUGCUGAAGUUUGGAAGCAAUCGAGGAUGGCCCUAAAUCGAAAUAAAACACAAAAAUGAAACAGAGACAAAAUUAAACAGUGAACAGGUGAAGAAGAAAGCAAGAACUGGAAAACAUAGAUUGGUGGUGACCGAAGCAACCCAUUGAGGAAAAUAGCGGCAAACGUUUGGAACGUAACACGUAUAAUUCGAAGUCAGAAGACAUUUAGUCAACAGGACCUCCAAAUAUCACAGCCCAUGAAAAAUCGUCGGUGGGAAGAAAUCUAGUAAAACACAGGACCAGAAACGACAAGUCUCAAAAAUACGGUGGCAAAUUUCUAUACUAUAAUGUUCCACAACAACAUGAGAAUUAAUUAUAUGUAUAAUGGCCAAAUGGGUACACUUGUAAGAAGCGCCGUAUGCAGUCAGUCGGUGUUCUCUCCCCCGUGAACAAAGAUACCAUCAAAUUAUCUCUCUCUCUCAAUAAAUCAACUUGUUUAACUAAUACUCAUACAUGCAUCGUCUCCCAACCAUACCCCACCACAUACACCAAUUAAAAGAAAUGUUGGAGGCAAGACAUGUGAUCUUUUGUCCCUUUUUACUCCCAAUCCACCAUAAAAUAUGUACGAUCACGUCUCUUGGUUUCAUAAUUUUGUA
RNAcentral lists this long non-coding RNA (2415 nucleotides) under Lactuca sativa (garden lettuce). RNAcentral describes it as "long non-coding RNA (LSAT_LNC005877)". The record is from RNAcentral. Lineage: Eukaryota; Viridiplantae; Streptophyta; Magnoliopsida; Asterales; Asteraceae.